GCCGUGGUGCCGAGAGUAUGCAGGCCUCUCAAGCCUGUGGCCCGGGUUCAAAUCCCGGUCGCGGCA
Molecule: transfer RNA, 66 nt
Filed under: Metallosphaera sedula DSM 5348
Lineage: Archaea; Thermoproteati; Thermoproteota; Thermoprotei; Sulfolobales; Sulfolobaceae
Rfam family: tRNA
About the family: Transfer RNA (tRNA) molecules are approximately 80 nucleotides in length.
Source: Rfam by way of RNAcentral